RNAcentral lists this ribosomal RNA (404 nucleotides) under Actinomycetes bacterium. RNAcentral describes it as "Actinobacteria bacterium partial 16S ribosomal RNA". It matches the Rfam family "Bacterial small subunit ribosomal RNA", at positions 355 to 776 of the family's 1533-position model. Lineage: Bacteria; Bacillati; Actinomycetota; Actinomycetes. The record is from RNAcentral.
UGGGGAAUAUUGGACAAUGGGCGCAAGCCUGAUCCAGCCAUGCCGCGUGAGUGAUGAAGGCCCUAGGGUUGUAAAGCUCUUUCACCGGUGAAGAUAAUGACGGUAACCGGAGAAGAAGCCCCGGCUAACUUCGUGCCAGCAGCCGCGGUAAUACGAAGGGGGCUAGCGUUGUUCGGAUUUACUGGGCGUAAAGCGCACGUAGGCGGACUAUUAAGUCAGGGGUGAAAUCCCGGGGCUCAACCCCGGAACUGCCUUUGAUACUGGUAGUCUUGAGUUCGAGAGAGGUGAGUGGAAUUCCGAGUGUAGAGGUGAAAUUCGUAGAUAUUCGGAGAAACACCAGUGGCGAAGGCGGCUCACUGGCUCGAUACUGACGCUGAGGUGCGAAAGCGUGGGGAGCAAACAGG